UGUAUUAAAGGGGGCCCAGCAAUGCAU
RNAcentral lists this non-coding RNA (27 nucleotides) under Mus musculus (house mouse). The record is from RNAcentral. Lineage: Eukaryota; Metazoa; Chordata; Mammalia; Rodentia; Muridae.